AGAGUUUGAUCAUGGCUCAGGAUGAACGCUAGCUACAGGCUUAACACAUGCAAGUCGAGGGGAAACGACAUCGAAAGCUUGCUUUUGAUGGGCGUCGACCGGCGCACGGGUGAGUAACGCGUAUCCAACCUGCCCACCACUUAGGGAUAACCUUGCGAAAGUAAGACUAAUACCCAAUGAUAUCUCUAGAAGACAUCUGAAAGAGAUUAAAGAUUUAUCGGUGAUGGAUGGGGAUGCGUCUGAUUAGCUUGUUGGCGGGGUAGCGGCCCACCAAGGCAACGAUCAGUAGGGGUUCUGAGAGGAAGGUCCCCCACAUUGGAACUGAGACGCGGUCCAAACUCCUACGGGAGGCAGCA
RNAcentral lists this ribosomal RNA (356 nucleotides) under uncultured bacterium. Its description in RNAcentral is "bacterial SSU rRNA". It matches the Rfam family "Bacterial small subunit ribosomal RNA", at positions 8 to 353 of the family's 1533-position model. The record is from RNAcentral.